RNAcentral lists this ribosomal RNA (421 nucleotides) under uncultured bacterium. RNAcentral's name for it is "bacterial SSU rRNA". It matches the Rfam family "Bacterial small subunit ribosomal RNA", at positions 31 to 497 of the family's 1533-position model. The record is from RNAcentral.
GUACGCUGGCGGCACGCCUAACACAUGCAAGUCGAACGAAGUAGCAAUACUUAGUGGCAGACGGGUGAGUAACAUGUAGGUAUCUACCCUUUGGCCUGGAAUAACACGAGGAAACUUGUGCUAAUACCGGAUAAGUCUUUACGGAGAAAGCUUUAUGCACCAUUGGAUGAGCCUGCACUUGAUUAGUUUGUUGGUAGGGUAAUGGCCUACCAAGACUAUGAUCAAUAGCUGAUUUGAGAGGAUGAUCAGCCACAUUGGGACUGAGACACGGCCCAAACUCCUACGGGAGGCAGCAGUGGGGAAUCUUGCACAAUGGAGGAAACUCUGAUGCAGCGAUGCCGCGUGAGUGAAGAAGGCCCUUGGGUUGUAAAGCUCUUUCGUCGGGGAAGAAAAUGACUGUACCCGAAUAAGAAGGUCCGGC